GCCUCAGUGGCCAAGUGGUAAGGCGUCGGUCUCGUAAACUGAAGAUCAUGGGUUCAACCCCUAUCUGAGGCU
This 72-nucleotide transfer RNA is filed under the name Saccoglossus kowalevskii. RNAcentral describes it as "tRNA-Thr". It matches the Rfam family "tRNA". From Rfam's summary of the family: Transfer RNA (tRNA) molecules are approximately 80 nucleotides in length. Their secondary structure includes four short double-helical elements and three loops (D, anti-codon, and T loops). Lineage: Eukaryota; Metazoa; Hemichordata; Enteropneusta; Harrimaniidae. The record is from RNAcentral.